CUUCGCCUCUCGGUUAGCAAGCGAUGAGGCACGCCCCUCCACAGGCGGGACUGCGCGGAGUCGUCGCGCCUCGGCUGCGAGUCAGGACUGAGGCUGUCCCCCUCCCGCCUCCCUCAGGGGCCCUGGCGCGGGUGCCUCCAGGUUCCACCCCUCACCUGCCCCUUGGUGUCGGGCCGGGACCCUGGAGAGGUCGUGAGGGAGUCCUGGGCGCGGGCUCCGGGAGGCUGCGGCGCGGGUCUGAGGUAAACGGCCCGGCCGCUGCGGGCCCUUGCGGGGGCUGGUUCCAGCAGCAACCGCCGGGCAGGGCCCCUCCCGACCGCGACCUCCUGUCCGCACCGUAGGGCAGCCGGCCGGGCCAGCCUCCCUCACAGGACUACCGAGGAAGAGGUAGGAUUUCACUCUGUCACCCAGGCGGGAGUGCAGUGGUGCGAUCAUAGCGGGGACUACAAGUGUGCACCACAUGCUUGUCUACGAACCUGAAGUAUUCUGAUGCAGUGGAGAGAGUGUAGAACUCUGGAGUGAAGAGAUCUGCCUGGAACCCUGACUCUAUCACUAGGAGAUUCCUUGGAAUGAAACCAAUGGGAGUCCAGGGUUUGGGAGAGUCUCAUCAGAGCAGAUGGGCGAGCAGCAGCCAGAACGCUUGUUGCCUUUGGCUGAGAACACUAUCCUGGAUCUGAAUGUCUUAUCAGGACCUGAAGUAGGUGGCUGCCCAUCCAGGUAUUCUACAGGCACUUGCCCGUGAAACCUUCACCACUCCUUGAAUCUGGUUCUGCAAAGUGGGACAGCUGAGACUUAGGCUAAGUGACUUACUGAGGCAGCAGUCAGCACCGUGUGGGACCAGCCCCCAUGCUGUUUCCCAAAUGGAGGCACCUUCCUGCAUACCUUGGGCGUGAUCUGUAACAGCUCAGAAAGCUUGGACACCAGCAGGGUGGCACCUAUAUGGGGAGCACCUGUCCGCACUGACUGCAUUCAAUAAGCGUUCAUUUCAUCACCCUUCACCAUGAGUCUCCCUCUGUAGUCCAGGCUGCAGUGUAGUGGCGUGAUCUCAGUUCAGUGCAAUCUCUGCCUUCUGGCUUCAAGCGAUUCUCCUGCCUCAGGCUCCCGUGUAGCUGGGAUUACAGCUUUGUCACUCCAAGAGAUGGCCCUGGGACUGAGAAGUGGAUGGCAGCUGUGACAGCAGGAGAGGACUGCCUGAGGCUCCCCGGGCAGAGGCUCUGGUGCCAGGUUAGCAGCAGGACCGACGGCAGACCCAGCAGCCAGAGAGUGAAAGUUUUGAUUCUGGCAAGACCAGACUACACUCCCCUCUACCUGGCAGAAACCCUACCCAUCCUUCAAGUCCAGGAUAGAGAUCUCAAAGAAGUUUCCUACCGAAGUGCAGCAGAUCCCCACCACAUCUGGGCCCCUCGGGGGCAGGGCUUUCCUACAUCCAUCUCUGCAUUGCCAGCUCCGAGACAGGGACACUCAGAAGGUGCAAGGAGGCCGGGCGCAGUGGCUCACACCUGUAAUCCCAGCACUUUGGGAGGCCGAGGCAGGCGGAUCACGAGGUGGGUAAAUUGAGGCCCAAGGAGAGGAAUGGACUUGCUGUGGACAUUCCAAGAGCCCAGAGGCAACUCAGGCCAAGGCGAGUCUGUCUGUUCUGAAUCUCUUAGGUCAGUUCUGAAUCCAAACAGUAACCGGACAAGCCCAUUCUCAGGAGCUCCUCAGCUCCAUUCCGUGGGGGCUUGGUUACCUGUAACAGGGCCUCAACAGGAGGGUCAUAGACUUGCCCAUUGCUUCCAAGCAACAGGGAGUUGGCAUUGCCCUGCCUCCUGUGGGACUCGCAAACAUAAAAUCUCAGGCUCUCUCAUUCUCACAUCUACAUUACAUAGCACUGACUCUGUGCCGGACACUGUUCUUAGUGCUUUGCAAAUAGUAAUUUAUAUAGUCCUCAUUGACUGGGAAGCUAUAUUAAUUUUGACAUUAUUCCUGAGAAAAGCAUAUCCCUUCCUGGGUUCUGGCCCUGUUAACAGGAAUGUUUUAAAACUUUAAAAAAAAAAAAAAAAAAAAAAAAAA
RNAcentral lists this long non-coding RNA (2052 nucleotides) under Homo sapiens (human). Its description in RNAcentral is "ADORA2A antisense RNA 1 (ADORA2A-AS1)". Lineage: Eukaryota; Metazoa; Chordata; Mammalia; Primates; Hominidae. The record is from RNAcentral.